Molecule: ribosomal RNA, 275 nt
Filed under: uncultured bacterium
Lineage: Bacteria
Description: partial 16S ribosomal RNA
Rfam family: Bacterial small subunit ribosomal RNA
Source: RNAcentral
ACUCCUACGGGAGGCAGCAGUGGGGAAUAUUGCACAAUGGGCGCAAGCCUGAUGCAGCCAUGCCGCGUGUAUGAAGAAGGCCUUCGGGUUGUAAAGUACUUUCAGCAGUGAGGAAGGUGGGUAUGUUAAUAGCAUGCAUUCAUUUGACGUUAGCUGCAGAAGAAGCACCGGCUAACUCCGUGCCAGCAGCCGCGGUAAUACGGAGGGUGCGAGCGUUAAUCGGAAUUACUGGGCGUAAAGCGCAUGCAGGUGGUUUGUUAAGUCAGAUGUGAAAG